Molecule: ribosomal RNA, 247 nt
Filed under: uncultured Lactobacillus sp.
Lineage: Bacteria; Bacillati; Bacillota; Bacilli; Lactobacillales; Lactobacillaceae
Description: partial 16S ribosomal RNA
Rfam family: Bacterial small subunit ribosomal RNA
Source: RNAcentral
CGUGGGGAACCUGCCCCAUAGUCUGGGAUACCACUUGGAAACAGGUGCUAAUACCGGAUAAGAAAGCAGAUCGCAUGAUCAGCUUUUAAAAGGCGGCGUAAGCUGUCGCUAUGGGAUGGCCCCGCGGUGCAUUAGCUAAUUGGUAAGGUAAAGGCUUACCAAGGCGAUGAUGCAUAGCCGAGUUGAGAGACUGAUCGGCCACAUUGGGACUGAGACACGGCCCAAACUCCUACGGGAGGCAGCAGCU